AGAUUAACUUUUUGGUCGUGCUAUUGUACGUACUGGUAUUAUUGAUUCCUACCUUCUGACGAACCACAAUGUCAUUAAUUUGGUGUCAUGGGGAAUCAGGACUGUUACUUUGAAAAAAUUAGAGUGUUUAAAGCAGGCAUACGCUUGAAUACAUUAGCAUGGAAUAAUGAAAUAGGACGUUUGAUUCUAUUUUGUUGGUUUCUAGGAUCGACGUA
This 215-nucleotide ribosomal RNA is filed under the name uncultured Glomeromycotina. RNAcentral's name for it is "partial small subunit ribosomal RNA". The stretch from base 37 to 215 matches the Rfam family "Eukaryotic small subunit ribosomal RNA", at positions 684 to 864 of the family's 1831-position model. Lineage: Eukaryota; Fungi; Glomeromycota. The record is from RNAcentral.